This 99-nucleotide small RNA is filed under the name Klebsiella michiganensis. Its description in RNAcentral is "partial RtT sRNA". It matches the Rfam family "RtT RNA", at positions 33 to 130 of the family's 130-position model. From Rfam's summary of the family: This family represents a bacterial cis-regulatory element known as RtT RNA. The exact function of RtT is unknown although it is thought that it may be involved in changing the cellular response in relation to amino acid starvation. Lineage: Bacteria; Pseudomonadati; Pseudomonadota; Gammaproteobacteria; Enterobacterales; Enterobacteriaceae. The record is from RNAcentral.
CGACCAAGGUUCGAUUCGAGCGGAGCGAGAAAGCGUUGCCGCAGGCAACGACCCGAAGGGCGAGGCGCAACGCGCCGAGUAAUCCUUCCCCCACCACCA